Molecule: long non-coding RNA, 508 nt
Organism: Globicephala melas (long-finned pilot whale)
Lineage: Eukaryota; Metazoa; Chordata; Mammalia; Artiodactyla; Delphinidae
Source: RefSeq, a predicted model, not a curated record
ACAGCUUAGGGCCUCCUAUUCUGCACGGGACGCACAGGUGACCCCUUCGUGCCCCCCUCUGCCAGCAGCGGCCACCCAGGGCUCACCGGAUGGCAAUGGUGUUUGGGGACCUGAGGUGGCUCCGUGUCCCACCUCUUCCACUUGUCCCCCUACGUCCCUGCCCUUGCUGGGAAGUGCGCUCUGGAGUGGAGGGGAUGGUGACACCCAGAUACCAAACUGGGGACUCAGGAAACUACAGGAGAGAGGAGAGGGCGCAGAGGAAGGACCUGGCCUGGAGGUGAGGAGACAUCCUCCCGUGCAUGGGGCUUCCCACCGUACAUCUGGCACCCACCUCACAGGUGAACCUUCCCGCUCCUAAAUGAUGACUGAUCCAUCUGAGAAGAAAAAGCUCUAUGUGGAGAACAGAGUGUCCCAGGAUUACUUUUUUUCUUUUCCUUUCUUCAACUUUUCUGUCUGAUCUCUUCAUUGCCAAGUUCUGAGUCUAUGGAAAAAUUGAUCCCAUCCUCUG